GAUCAAUGAUGAAACAUAUCCCGAAGCUGAUUACCUGAAGAAAAGCAUAUACGGAUUCGGCUUCUGAGAU
This 70-nucleotide small nucleolar RNA is filed under the name Rhinolophus ferrumequinum (greater horseshoe bat). Its description in RNAcentral is "Small nucleolar RNA SNORD50 (ENSRFEG00010000830.1)". It matches the Rfam family "Small nucleolar RNA SNORD50". Rfam says of the family: U50 belongs to the C/D class of snoRNA which contain the C (UGAUGA) and D (CUGA) box motifs. Most of the members of the box C/D family function in directing site-specific 2'-O-methylation of substrate RNAs. U50 is an intronic snoRNA gene located on chromosome 6q15, at the breakpoint of chromosomal translocation t(3;6)(q27;q15). Lineage: Eukaryota; Metazoa; Chordata; Mammalia; Chiroptera; Rhinolophidae. The record is from Rfam by way of RNAcentral.